UAAGAAUGUGAACCAAGGUGAGGAGG
This 26-nucleotide non-coding RNA is filed under the name Homo sapiens (human). The record is from RNAcentral. Lineage: Eukaryota; Metazoa; Chordata; Mammalia; Primates; Hominidae.